UACAGAGGGGGCAAGCGUUGUUCGGAAUUACUGGGCGUAAAGGGCGCGUAGGCGGCCUUCUAAGUCGAACGUGAAAUCCCUGGGCUCAACCCAGGAACUGCGUCCGAUACUGGAAGGCUUGAAUCCGGGAGAGGGAUGCGGAAUUCCAGGUGUAGCGGUGAAAUGCGCAGAUAUCGGGAGGAACACCGAUGGCGAAGGCAGCACUCUGGGCCGGCACUGACGCUGAGGAGCGAAAGCGUGGGGAGCGAACAGG
This 253-nucleotide ribosomal RNA is filed under the name uncultured bacterium. RNAcentral's name for it is "partial 16S ribosomal RNA". It matches the Rfam family "Bacterial small subunit ribosomal RNA", at positions 524 to 776 of the family's 1533-position model. The record is from RNAcentral.